AUUGAACGCUGGCGGCAGGCCUAACACAUGCAAGUCGAGCGGAUGAAGGGAGCUUGCUCCUGGAUUCAGCGGCGGACGGGUGAGUAAUGCCUAGGAAUCUGCCUGGUAGUGGGGGAUAACGUCCGGGAACGGGCGCUAAUACCGCAUACGUCCUGAGGGAGAAAGUGGGGGAUCUUCGGACCUCACGCUAUCAGAUGAGCCUAGGUCGGAUUAGCUAGUUGGUGGGGUAAAGGCCUACCAAGGCGACGAUCGGUAACUGGUCUGAGAGGAUGAUCAGUCACACUGGAACUGAGACACGGUCCAGACUCCUACGGGAGGCAGCAGUGGGGAAUAUUGGACGAUGUGCGAAAGCCUGAUCCAGCCAUGCCGGGUGUGUGAAGAAGGGCUUCGGAUUGUAAAGCACUUUAAGUGGGGAGGAAGGGUAGUAAGUUAAUACCUUGCUGUUUUGACGUUACCAACAGAAUAAGCACCGGCUAACUUCGUG
Molecule: ribosomal RNA, 484 nt
Filed under: uncultured bacterium
Lineage: Bacteria
Description: partial 16S ribosomal RNA
Rfam family: Bacterial small subunit ribosomal RNA
Source: RNAcentral